UAGGGAAUCUUGCGCAAUGGGCGAAAGCCUGACGCAGCCAUGCCGCGUGAAUGAUGAAGGUCUUAGGAUUGUAAAAUUCUUUCACCGGGGAAGAUAAUGACGGUACCCGGAGAAGAAGCCCCGGCUAACUUCGUGCCAGCAGCCGCGGUAAUACGAAGGGGGCUAGCGUUGCUCGGAAUUACUGGGCGUAAAGGGCGCGUAGGCGGAUAUUUAAGUUGGGGGUGAAAGCCCGGGGCUCAACCUCGGAAUAGCCUUCAAUACUGGAUAUCUUGAGUUCGGGAGAGGUGAGUGGAAUGCCGAGUGUAGAGGUGAAAUUCGUAGAUAUUCGGCGGAACACCAGUGGCGAAGGCGACUCACUGGCCCGAUACUGACGCUGAGGCGCGAAAGCGUGGGGAGCAAACAGGAUUAGAUACCCUGGUAGUCCACGCCGUAAACGAUGAGUGCUAGUUGUCGGCAUGCAUGCAUGUCGGUGACGCAGCUAACGCAUUAAGCACUCCGCCUGGGGAGUACGGUCGCAAGAUUAAAACUCAAAGGAAUUGACGGGGGUCAUAGCUGUUUCCUG
Molecule: ribosomal RNA, 562 nt
Filed under: uncultured bacterium
Lineage: Bacteria
Description: partial 16S ribosomal RNA
Rfam family: Bacterial small subunit ribosomal RNA
Source: RNAcentral